AUGGGGGGAGGGUGCUCAGAUUCGCCUUUUAUCAGACAGGUAAAGAAAACAAAGUCGGUGGCUGCAACAAACAAGAGUUGCCCCGCCAAGCAACGGGCAUUUUUUCUUCAAAAGUCUGAACUUUAAUA
Molecule: long non-coding RNA, 128 nt
Organism: Hibiscus syriacus
Lineage: Eukaryota; Viridiplantae; Streptophyta; Magnoliopsida; Malvales; Malvaceae
Exons: 2
Source: RefSeq, a predicted model, not a curated record